This 205-nucleotide unclassified non-coding RNA is filed under the name fungal sp. RNAcentral describes it as "partial internal transcribed spacer region". The stretch from base 1 to 46 matches the Rfam family "Eukaryotic small subunit ribosomal RNA", at positions 1786 to 1831 of the family's 1831-position model. Lineage: Eukaryota; Fungi. The record is from RNAcentral.
AAGUCGUAACAAGGUAACCGUAGGUGAACCUGCGGUUGGAUCAUUAGAAAAACGAAAAGCUCAAGCUUUUUCCACACUUGUGAAUUGUUUAUUGUCUCUGGCAAGGUUGAGGCGCGAGCCAACGCUUUGCCGCUUUACACUAGUAUUAUUAUUUGCCUGGAACAUUUUAUUAAAAACAACUUUUAACACGGAUCUCUAGGCUCUC